AGGACCUCCCGUAUCUUUUGUUUCCAUUCCCGGUCGCUUAACCGCAGUAAAGCAAUAUUAACAAGCGUCCGGAGAACUUCAGACAAUCUCUUUGUCUUCUGCAGCACGUCCUUUAUGACGAUUCGUCGUAUUAUUCCCGAACGUCGGUAAAUCCCGUCUUCCUAGAUUGGUCCACUUAUCUUCGAUAUUAAACCAUUUGGACGCAAAAUAUUCACCGCUGCUUCCCAAACCUUGAUCAAGAGAGUCCUAUCAGGUACGCUUUAGAUGAAUAAUACACAUGCACGUUUCGGCGUGCAUUGCAGCGCGGAAAUGUUUCCGUAUCUCGAAGUGUGUCUCCUUGUUUUCUCCGUUCUUGGUCUUGUUUAAAUACGUGUCCACGGACUUCAAGGCAUGGAACUGGCACAAAAGAUGGGCUGCUUUAGGAAAAUUUCUUCCCAAGGCGGCGAUCUCCGCGCAAUCCUUGUCCCUCAUUGUCAUUUUUGUGACUGGCACGUCAUUGUUUUAUGGUAAAGGUAGAUUCAUUAUUAGAACAUAAUAAAUUUGAGUAUCAGCAAUUCUUGCAUCUGCAAAGACUUUCAGGCAUUCUUAAAUGGCUUCUGUUGUCUCCUCCCUAAUGAAGAACAUGGCCGUAUUUCUGGUAUCUACUGUUCCAUAUUUCUGGUAGAGUCUGCGCUGUUUAUGUAGAUGGACAAAUAAAGCUGCCACUUCUUAAUCAGCAUCCUGCAAAUUUUUGAUAACGUUAUUUUCAACAUUUUGAAGACCGCAAAGAUAGUGAACGAC
Molecule: long non-coding RNA, 780 nt
Organism: Daphnia magna
Lineage: Eukaryota; Metazoa; Arthropoda; Branchiopoda; Diplostraca; Daphniidae
Exons: 3
Source: RefSeq, a predicted model, not a curated record